Molecule: ribosomal RNA, 254 nt
Filed under: uncultured bacterium
Lineage: Bacteria
Description: partial 16S ribosomal RNA
Rfam family: Bacterial small subunit ribosomal RNA
Source: RNAcentral
UACGGGGGGAGCAAGCGUUGUUCGGAUUUACUGGGCGUAAAGGGCGCGUAGGCGGCCACCGCAAGUCGACUGUGAAAUCUCCGGGCUUAACCCGGAAAGGUCAGCCGAUACUGCGGGGCUAGCGUGCAGAAGGGGCAACUGGAAUUCUUGGUGUAGCGGUGAAAUGCGUAGAUAUCAAGAGGAACACCUGAGGUGAAGACGGGUUGCUGGGCCAACACUGACGCUGAUGCGCGAAAGCCAGGGGAGCAAACGGG